This 722-nucleotide ribosomal RNA is filed under the name Kitasatospora sp. SU1-1/29. Its description in RNAcentral is "bacterial SSU rRNA". It matches the Rfam family "Bacterial small subunit ribosomal RNA", at positions 28 to 766 of the family's 1533-position model. Lineage: Bacteria; Bacillati; Actinomycetota; Actinomycetes; Kitasatosporales; Streptomycetaceae. The record is from RNAcentral.
GACGAACGCUGGCGGCGUGCUUAACACAUGCAAGUCGAACGAUGAAGCUCUUCGGAGUGGAUUAGUGGCGAACGGGUGAGUAACACGUGGGAAAUCUGCCCUGCACUCUGGGACAAGCCUUGGAAACGAGGUCUAAUACCGGAUAUGACCUUCCUCUGCAUGGGGGUUGGUGGAAAGCUCCGGCGGUGCAGGAUGGUCCCGCGGCCUAUCAGCUUGUUGGUGGGGUAAUGGCCUACCAAGGCGACGACGGGUAGCCGGCCUGAGAGGGCGACCGGCCACACUGGGACUGAGACACGGCCCAGACUCCUACGGGAGGCAGCAGUGGGGAAUAUUGCACAAUGGGCGAAAGCCUGAUGCAGCGACGCCGCGUGAGGGAUGACGGCCUUCGGGUUGUAAACCUCUUUCAGCAGGGAAGAAGCGCAAGUGACGGUACCUGCAGAAGAAGCACCGGCUAACUACGUGCCAGCAGCCGCGGUAAUACGUAGGGUGCGAGCGUUGUCCGGAAUUAUUGGGCGUAAAGAGCUCGUAGGCGGCUUGUCGCGUCGAGUGUGAAAGCCCGGGGCUUAACCCCGGGUCUGCAUUCGAUACGGGCAGGCUUGAGUGUGGUAGGGGAGAUCGGAAUUCCUGGUGUAGCGGUGAAAUCGCGCAUGAUAUCAGGAGGAACACCGGUGGCGAAGGCGGAUCUCUGGGCCAUUACUGACGCUAGGAGCGAAAGCGUGGGG